Molecule: ribosomal RNA, 253 nt
Filed under: uncultured bacterium
Lineage: Bacteria
Description: partial 16S ribosomal RNA
Rfam family: Bacterial small subunit ribosomal RNA
Source: RNAcentral
UACAGAGGGUGCAAGCGUUAAUCGGAAUUACUGGGCGUAAAGGGCGCGUAGGCGGAUGAAUAAGUUAGGUGUGAAAUACCUGGGCUUAACCUGGGAGUGGCACCUAAUACUGUUGAUCUAGAGUAGAGUAGAGGGAAGUGGAAUUUCCGGUGUAGCGGUGAAAUGCGUAGAGAUCGGAAAGAACACCAGUGGCGAAGGCGGCUUCCUGGACUCAUACUGACGCUGAGGCGCGAAAGCGUGGGGAGCAAACAGG